AAACGACUCUCGGCAACGGAUAUCCCGGCUCUCGCAUCGAUGAAGAACGUAGCGAAAUGCGAUACUUGGUGUGAAUUGCAGAAUCCCAUGAACCAUCGAGUUUUUGAACGCAAGUUGCGCCCGAUGCCAUUAGGCUGAGGGCACGUCUGCCUGGGUGUCACGU
This 163-nucleotide ribosomal RNA is filed under the name Bupleurum chinense. RNAcentral's name for it is "5.8S ribosomal RNA". It matches the Rfam family "5.8S ribosomal RNA". Rfam says of the family: 5.8S ribosomal RNA (5.8S rRNA) is a component of the large subunit of the eukaryotic ribosome. It is transcribed by RNA polymerase I as part of the 45S precursor that also contains 18S and 28S rRNA. Lineage: Eukaryota; Viridiplantae; Streptophyta; Magnoliopsida; Apiales; Apiaceae. The record is from RNAcentral.